Molecule: ribosomal RNA, 498 nt
Filed under: uncultured Escherichia sp.
Lineage: Bacteria; Pseudomonadati; Pseudomonadota; Gammaproteobacteria; Enterobacterales; Enterobacteriaceae
Description: bacterial SSU rRNA
Rfam family: Bacterial small subunit ribosomal RNA
Source: RNAcentral
AGAGUUUGAUCCUGGCUCAGAUUGAACGCUGGCGGCAGGCCUAACACAUGCAAGUCGAACGGUAACAGGAAACAGCUUGCUGUUUCGCUGACGAGUGGCGGACGGGUGAGUAAUGUCUGGGAAGCUGCCUGAUGGAGGGGGAUAACUACUGGAAACGGUAGCUAAUACCGCAUAAUGUCGCAAGACCAAAGAGGGGGACCUUCGGGCCUCUUGCCAUCGGAUGUGCCCAGAUGGGAUUAGCUAGUAGGUGGGGUAACGGCUCACCUAGGCGACGAUCCCUAGCUGGUCUGAGAGGAUGACCAGCCACACUGGAACUGAGACACGGUCCAGACUCCUACGGGAGGCAGCAGUGGGGAAUAUUGCACAAUGGGCGCAAGCCUGAUGCAGCCAUGCCGCGUGUAUGAAGAAGGCCUUCGGGUUGUAAAGUACUUUCAGCGGGGAGGAAGGGAGUAAAGUUAAUACCUUUGCUCAUUGACGUUACCCGCAGAAGAAGCACCG